Paramuricea clavata is the source of this 305-nucleotide non-coding RNA. The record is from the annotation of a GenBank genome assembly. NCBI's taxonomy places the organism in Eukaryota, Metazoa, Cnidaria, Anthozoa, Malacalcyonacea, Plexauridae.
CAGUUUUGUGGUCUUUCAAUUACUUGAUUAAGUUUUGUGUUGCUACUGAUCACAGAAAGUCUAUAAUUUUCAAAGCAUAUUUAAGCAUUUUAUGAGCAAGCCAGAAAAUAACAAACUGUUGGCUUUGUUACAGUAUAUCAGUUAAACAUUGAGAAGAUUGAGGUGGUUUUUAUUACAACCAAAGUGGUCACUUACAAAUAAGACAUGUGACUUCAUUAGUUUUAAUUCAAAAUUGAGUUUUUUCUUAUAGUCAUCUUUCAUGUUUCGGUAUUAAUUUGGAGUGUGUUUUAUUAAAGGAUUAAAAG